This 427-nucleotide ribosomal RNA is filed under the name uncultured bacterium. RNAcentral describes it as "bacterial SSU rRNA". It matches the Rfam family "Bacterial small subunit ribosomal RNA", at positions 354 to 776 of the family's 1533-position model. The record is from RNAcentral.
GUUAAGAAUCUUGCGCAAUGGGGGAAACCCUGACGCAGCCACGCCGCGUGAACGAUGAAGGCUCUAGGGUUGUAAAGUUCACUAAGAUAGGAAGAAUAAGCAAGGUCUAAUAGGCCUUGUGAUGACGGUACUAUCCUAUAGCCCCGGCUAAUUACGUGCCAGCAGCCGCGGUAAUACGUAUGGGGCAAGCGUUGUUCGGAUUUAUUGGGCGUAAAGGGCACGCAGGCGGAUUGCUAAGUUGGAUGUAUAAUCGUCAGGCUCAACCUGAUACCUGCAUCCAAAACUGGCAGUCUAGAGUUUUGGAGAGGAAAGCGGAAUUCUCGGUGUAGCGGUGGAAUGCGUAGAUAUCGAGAGGAACACCAAUGGCGAAGGCAGCUUUCUGGACAAAAACUGACGCUCAGGUGCGAAAGCGUGGGGAGCAAACAGG